UGGGGGAAUUUUUGGACAAUGGGGGAAACCCUGAUCCAGCCAUCCCGCGUGUGCGAUGAAGGCCUUCGGGUUGUAAAGCACUUUUGGCAGGAAAGAAACGUCGCGGGUUAAUACCCCGCGAAACUGACGGUACCUGCAGAAUAAGCACCGGCUAACUACGUGCCAGCAGCCGCGGUAAUACGUAGGGUGCAAGCGUUAAUCGGAAUUACUGGGCGUAAAGCGUGCGCAGGCGGUUCGGAAAGAAAGAUGUGAAAUCCCAGAGCUUAACUUCGGAACUGCAUUUUUAACUACCGGGCUAGAGUGUGUCAGAGGGAGGUGGAAUUCCGCGUGUAGCAGUGAAAUGCGUAGAUAUGCGGAGGAACACCGACGGCGAAGGCAGCCUCCUGGGAUAACACUGACGCUCAUGCACGAAAGCGUGGGGAGCAAACAGGAUUAGAUACCCCUGGUAGUCCACGCCCUAAACGAUGUCAACUAGCUGUUGGGGGCCUUCGGGCCUUGGUAGCGCAGCUAACGCGUGAAGUUGACCGCCUGGGGAGUACGGUCGCAAGAUUAAAA
This 555-nucleotide ribosomal RNA is filed under the name uncultured bacterium. RNAcentral describes it as "partial 16S ribosomal RNA". It matches the Rfam family "Bacterial small subunit ribosomal RNA", at positions 353 to 899 of the family's 1533-position model. The record is from RNAcentral.